RNAcentral lists this ribosomal RNA (454 nucleotides) under uncultured bacterium. Its description in RNAcentral is "partial 16S ribosomal RNA". It matches the Rfam family "Bacterial small subunit ribosomal RNA", at positions 28 to 507 of the family's 1533-position model. The record is from RNAcentral.
GAUGAACGCUGACAGAAUGCUUAACACAUGCAAGUCUACUUGAACUUCGGUUUGGGUGGCGGACGGGUGAGUAACGCGUAAAGAACUUGCCUCGCAGAUAGGGACAACAUUUGGAAACGAAUGCUAAUACCUGAUAUUAUGAUUUUAGGGCAUCCUAGAAUUAUGAAAGCUAUAUGCACUGUGAGAGAGCUUUGCGUCCCAUUAGCUAGUUGGAGAGGUAACGGCUCACCAAGGCGAUGAUGGGUAGCCGGCCUGAGAGGGUGAUCGGCCACAAGGGGACUGAGACACGGCCCUUACUCCUACGGGAGGCAGCAGUGGGGAAUAUUGGACAAUGGACCAAGAGUCUGAUCCAGCAAUUCUGUGUGCACGAUGAAGUUUUUCGGAAUGUAAAGUGCUUUCAGUUGGGAAGAAAAAAAUGACGGUACCAACAGAAGAAGUGACGGCUAAAUACGUG